AGGAGAUGCCAGCUCUGCCAUUUGGAUGGGGGGAGGGGAUUCUCUGUAUCCGGAGUGACUUUGUUGUCCCACACUGCCUCCUGCUGCAGGUGCCUUGGAAAGAGAUGCUGCCUUGGAGCUGGUGAAUCCGUGGACCACACUCACUACAGGCAUCUCCUAAUCCUCUUAACUCUGAAUCGCAGGUCACAUUCUCCUUUCCAGCUAGGAAAGGGUUCCUAGCAGCUGGUUUAGACUGUGGUUGUUUUGUUUAAAAAAAAAAAAAAAAAAACAAGUUUUGUGUUUGCUGUCUUCGCUGGAGUCCUGAACUGCAGGUAGGAAAUAUGACCUGGCUUUGUAGGAAGGACACAGGCUGUUUUAUGAAUUAAGUGAUGAGGCUCAGGUGGCGGCCCUCGCAGAGCCCCUGGUGCUGUCUUUCAUUGAGGGCUUAAGGCCUGAUGAACUUAGGCACGUGAUACGUGAUAGUCUUAAUUGGUACACCUAACUAGUCUCUUCUGUGUAAUCGCGAAAAAAGGAAAACUGUAGGAAAUGUUCUGUUCUUUUUGAAAUGCCACACGACGGAGCUUUUUAUAAUAAAAUAUUUUAUAUGUAGUA
Long non-coding RNA from Sapajus apella (tufted capuchin), 591 nucleotides. RefSeq lists it as uncharacterized. The transcript is spliced from 3 exons. Lineage: Eukaryota; Metazoa; Chordata; Mammalia; Primates; Cebidae. The record is from RefSeq and is a predicted model, not a curated record.